GCGCAGCAGGCGCGAAAACUCCGCAAUGCGCGAAAGCGUGACGGGGUCACCCCGAGUGCCGUCCGCUGAGGAUGGCUUUUGCCUGGUCUAUAAAGCUGGGAGAAUAAGGAGAGGGCAAGUCUGGUGUCAGCCGCCGCGGUAAUACCAGCUCUCCGAGUGGUGUGGAUGUUUAUUGGGCCUAAAGCAUCCGUAGCUUGCCAAGCAAGUCCCCUGUUAAACCCACCGAAUUAAUCGUUGGAUUGCGGGGGAUACUGCUCGGCUAGGGGACGGGAGAGGCCGACGGUACUUCCGGGGUAGGGGUGAAAUCCUAUAAUCCCGGGAAGACCACCAGUGGCGAAGGCUGUCGGCUAGAACGCGCCCGACGGUGAGGGAUGAAAGCUGGGGGAGCGAACCGGAUUAGAUACCCGGGAGUCC
RNAcentral lists this ribosomal RNA (414 nucleotides) under uncultured crenarchaeote. Its description in RNAcentral is "partial 16S ribosomal RNA". It matches the Rfam family "Archaeal small subunit ribosomal RNA", at positions 330 to 747 of the family's 1478-position model. The record is from RNAcentral. Lineage: Archaea; Thermoproteati; Thermoproteota.